This 474-nucleotide ribosomal RNA is filed under the name uncultured bacterium. RNAcentral's name for it is "bacterial SSU rRNA". It matches the Rfam family "Bacterial small subunit ribosomal RNA", at positions 335 to 800 of the family's 1533-position model. The record is from RNAcentral.
ACUCCUACGGGAGGCAGCAGUGGGGAAUAUUGGACAAUGGGGGAAACCCUGAUCCAGCCAUGCCGCGUGUGUGAAGAAGGCCUUCGGGUUGUAAAGCACUUUCAGUGGGGAGGAAAGGUUGAUGGUUAAUACCUAUCAGCUGUGACGUUACCCACAGAAGAAGCACCGGCUAACUCCGUGCCAGCAGCCGCGGUAAUACGGAGGGUGCAAGCGUUAAUCGGAAUUACUGGGCGUAAAGCGUGCGCAGGCGGUCUGUUAAGCGAGAUGUGAAACGCCCCGGGCUCAACCUGGGAACUGCAUUUCGAACUGGCAGACUAGAGUCUUGUAGAGGGGUUAGAAUUCCAGGUGUAGCGGUGAAAUGCGUAGAGAUCUGGGAGGAUACCGGUGGCGAAGGCGGCCCCCUGGACAAAGACUGACGCUCAGGCACGAAAGCGUGGGGAGCAAACAGGAUUAGAUACCCGUGGUAGGUCAGUC